ACUUAGUGAUCCGAAUACAGCUUAAUUUUUCUUGGUACGGCUAAAUGAGAAUCCCAGUGCAAUGCAGGUUACGUUUCUACAAAGUCAACAACACCCCGAGGAACACCUGGACCAAUACUGGCGUUUUCUUGGAGAAACAGCUAAGGCCCAGCGACCACGGUUUUACUGGGGAUAAUCUCAGGUGGAAAAGCUACAAGCGUGAUGCCCUCCAGCAUGGCUGCGCUCUGGCUGCGCACAAGUCCAUUCAGUAUCAUUGUUACCAGGACUUUCUCUGCUGCCUGCUAUUUUCUGAUAUGGUCGUAUGUAAAUCAUUCAGGCACUAUAUGUUCAAGCGUACCAGUUUUAUAAUUGAGUUUUGAUAUAGAAAGUAUGCAGCGAUGGAACAUGCUGUGAAUUUCUGUGUUGAUCCUACAAUGUGGAAUAUGCAGCAGAUUGGCAGAUUUGGUCUUUUAAAUCUGAAAUUUAAGCUGCUGUAUUAUUUUGCUGAUAUGAGUGACCUUUCUGUUUGUGGACUCAGAAUAGCCCUACUGUAUUUAUUUGUUUUUCCUCACUCCCAGUGCCUGAACACUGCACCUGGGUCUUUUGGCAAGAGGCAGGCAAAUCUGUUCAGCUUUCCUAACAUUAUUUUGCCUUCAAAUUGAUGAAGCAUGUCCAACCCCAAGCUACAAUCCUGUUUACUGUCGAGCUGUGUGUCUGAACUUGCGUCAGGAAUUGUGUUGAUGUAUGCCAGUGCAAAGACAGAGGAGUGGCAGCAGGAUGGAUUCCACCCCCCAGUGAGAAAAUGAGUGGAAUCACAGCAUUUUUCCACCCAGCUGACACCCAAGACAGAUGGAGCUAGCGAACACUGCAGCGCAGCCCCAGCCAAAACCAUGGCAACAGUGAGGCUACAGAAAGCCUGCCAGGCCAAUCACAGAGAAGAAUGCAGUGCCAUCUAAGCAGGUCCCCUAAGUAGACUCAGAGAGCUUGGUGGCCUAAUGGAUGGAGGUUGGUGGCAAAAGAAAGAAAAGUGGAUCCAUCAUAACGCUCAUGGAAAAUUGAAACUAGCUCACCACUGUAUGUGUUGAAUCCUAAAGGGAUAAUGUGAUCGAGACUACGACAACUAGCAAGUGAGAUCACAGGCAAAAUGGAAUGUCAUCAGCGAAGUCUCUCUAGUGCUGUUUAAAAGAAGCUGACUGAAGCCUUGAGGCACGUCUAUGGUUGAUGUGUUUUUAGUGGCUUUACAUGGUGUGUUGCGCAAAGGGGAUGCCGCUCUAGAAUCUGAAUUCAAUUCAUUUUGCUUCUGUUAUUGUUUUUCUGUACUCCUGCCCACAGGGGAAUGUGUUGUUUCACUUUGCUCCUCAGGGCAGAAGAUGAGCUGCACAACAGCAGCUCAUCUAGUGAUGGAGAUUGAGUGUCUUGCUCAAGGACUCUUGAAUAGGCUUGACCUAAGGCCUUGUAGCUGAAUGAAAGUCACGGGAUCCCCACACACAUUAAAGCAGCUUGUUUUUGGAAAGUAGAUUUUACAGUAACGGGUACAUUGUACUGUAAUUUCCGAAAAGAUUUACACUAUCAGUAGAUUUGCAAACAAGAUUGUACAAAAUAAACCUGCAUGCAGUGAGCAGAAAUUUUACCUUCUCUGCUGUGGUGAAAAAGAUGCCCUCUGCAAUAUCACACAUUGUGGGAGGACAAGUUAAAUGUAAUGGAACUGAAAAACUGCAGCAUGUUUGCUAGAGUGGAUGUCAAAUCUCUCUUGAAUAUAUUUUAAAAUGGAAUUUGUGUUAAUGGAAAUAAAAAACAAAAAAAACUUAGAAAACUAGAUUCAAGGUGUACGUGUCUGACAAUGACCUCUGCGUGACCCCAUUCUCAGAUCAAGGCUGUCUGCCACAUUCUCUGGCUCUCCUGCCUCAUCUACAGGAUUGCAGGCAGUGCUUAAUUUACAUGUGCCAAAAAGCAGUCAAACUACCAUCUCUGCACUUCCAGAUGAGCUCGGCAGCACUCUCACACGUCAGAUGAAAGCUCUCAGAUUUGGCAGAGCGUGAAACAGAUAAAACAUGCAUUGACAAAGGUGCAAUAUAAUUGCAUAUAUUACCAUCUCAAAGAGUUUUCACACACUCAGUGCCUUUAACCUCUUCACCAGAUUCCCAUUUUUUAAUUAAGAAGAAUCCAGUUCAACCUUGUGAGCAUAUACCAAAGUUUUUCUUGGUUUUAAAAUAUAUACUUCUACAUCUGAUGAAAUGUCUGUCAUUAUAAGAAGUGAGCUGUUGGCUUCACUCUCACCACUUUUUAAGAACUUAUGAAAUCGAGUUUCUGGAGUGUCUUACACAUUUCAAUUUUCGAGGAAAAGCAGUUAAAUUUUGAGGGUUUGAAUGGCAGUUAUCUAUGCUACACAGCCUGUGCACUGCGCUAAGCUGAAUUACUUUUUCUUUUCAGCCUCUGUGGAGGCUUGGUGAUUAUGUAGGCUUUCAUUUUUUUAAGGAGGAUAAAUUACAUAGAACUUUUGUCACUCAGAUCAGCACAUUUACUCCAAAGACACACACACAGUCAUGUUCAGUGACUACAUGUGCUACUCGGGCACAUGUAGUCACUGAACAUGAACAUUAUGGAACAUCCCUGGCUUCCUAUUUGUUUUCAGCCACUGACAACACAAUAACUUUCUCCAGAAGCGCCAAUGAAGGAUUCAUGCGAUAAUCGUUAAUCUCUGAAAGCAUGUUUUAUGGUUUCUUAAUUUGCAGUGGAGAGAAACAUAUAAACACAUUCUCAGGCAAACAUCUGUCUCUGCCAGGCUUCCACACACACACACACACACACACACAAACACACUCGCAGUUGCUCCCCCACAUGCAUGGCAUCACAGCGGCCAUAUCCUUCACUGAGUCGAGUCUUUGAUGAGCCAGCCGAUGCUUUGAAGCCUGGCUCUGCCAUCAGGAGCUUUUAAAGAAGCCCCACUUCUCUCUCUCUCCCACUUUCACUCCACAAUCAACUAGCUCAUAUCGCCAACUGAACCGCAGAUCCAUGCUAGACCACACAGAUAACCCAAAUCUGAUCUUCCUCAUCUUGCCUCGCCUCCUCUCAUCCCAGUCAAGGAUUCAGACACAAACCUCCCCCAGUCUCUGCCUCCCCAAUCUGUCUUACUGAGGCUGUGACUACUUUAUCUUUUACGCUCUAUCCUCACUCCUAUGGAGGACUAAAAGUGCCAAAAUUAAAUAAAUAAAUACAUCAUUAAAUAAUUAAUUAAAUAUGUCAUUAAUUAAUUAAAAUUGGAAUUAAAUAUUUCAUUAAUUAAUUAAAAUUGGAAUUAAAUAUUUCAUUAAUUAAUUAAAAUUGGAAUGAAAUACUUAAAUGUGUUAUUAAAUAAAUAUAUCAUUAAAUAAUUAAAUAUGUCAUUAAUUAAUUAAAAUUGGCAUUAAAUAUGUCAUUAAUUAAUUAAAAUUGGCAUUAAAUAUGUCAUUAAUUAAUUAAAAUUGGAAUUAAAUACAUAAAUGUGUUAUUAAAUAUGUCAUUAAUUUAUUAAAAUAACAAUUAUUUUAAGUAAAAAACAUAUUUCAUUAUUUCACUAUUUAAUUAAUUAUUUCAUGGUCCUUGCGUUGCAGUGGAUCAUGAAUUUAUUUUAUCUGUCAACCUCGCCCGUCAAAGUCGGUGGGCGGAUCCUAACACCUGAUUGGUUACCCUGCACAUCAAGUCAAGGCAAAUCGAUUCCAGAUAAUGGAUUGACGCAGAGCUUGUGAACACAUUCCGAUACACUGGGUGGCGCUAUUCACCUCUACGUUGGUUUGGAUACUCAAUAAAACAAAACUUUAUUAGCAACCGCUAAAGACUCGGUCCUCUUUCCCAAAUGUUGAUACAUGCGGUGCAAGACAAAUUUUCCUUUAGCAUUUCCUUUAGCAUCUACUCGGCGCGCCACGGCUCGUCUCGGUUUAGUUGUUUUUCCAUUACAUUGAGUACCACCUCAUCGUGGGUUGAGUCGUCAUAGCACGGUGGCCCGAAAGUCCCUUACCGUCAUUUUUGUGCGACACAAACGCAAUGCAACAAUGUACAUGGAGGCGAUAGUACACCUGCUGCUCGGUCUGUGGCUUUCUGUCAGAUUCAGAGUAACAGAAGAGUCGGAGAAAGCUGAGAGCGGCGAGUCGAAACACUCAGGAGACACACAGGAGAGUUUGGGAGGCGAUACAGCAGUAUCAAGCUGAAGACAAGAGGAUAUGAACGAGACGACAUAUAAGGAUGCUCUCUGAUGAGACUUCAUGGGAUUUACCUGAAGCAGCAGCACAUGAGCCUGCAGUGGCACAAGGUGUAGAGGAGGAGGGCAGAGAUGUACAGGAUGCACUGAUGCACUACGUGUCAUGCAAAGUUAUUCUUCUUGUUAUACUUCUGUUUUUCUGUCCCCGGACCGCUAUUGUUUUCUUUAAUGCAAUUCUGACAAUAAACUUUUGUAGAUGUG
Amphiprion ocellaris (clown anemonefish) is the source of this 4414-nucleotide long non-coding RNA. RefSeq lists it as uncharacterized. The record is from RefSeq and is a predicted model, not a curated record. NCBI's taxonomy places the organism in Eukaryota, Metazoa, Chordata, Actinopteri, Pomacentridae. The transcript has 2 exons.